Molecule: transfer RNA, 84 nt
Filed under: Clostridia bacterium
Lineage: Bacteria; Bacillati; Bacillota; Clostridia
Description: tRNA-Leu
Rfam family: tRNA
About the family: Transfer RNA (tRNA) molecules are approximately 80 nucleotides in length.
Source: RNAcentral
GCGGCCAUGGCGGAAUAGGCAGACGCGUACGUUUGAGGGGCGUAUGGGACGACCGUGUGAGUUCAAGUCUCACUGGCCGCACCA